GACAGAGGGUGCAAACGUUGUUCGGAAUUACUGGGCGUAAAGCGUGUGUAGGCGGUCUCCUAAGUCGGAUGUGAAGGCCCUCGGCUUAACUGAGGAAGUGCAUCCGAAACUGAGCAGCUAGAGUACGAAAGAGGGUCGCGGAAUUCCCGGUGUAGAGGUGAAAUUCGUAGAUAUCGGGAGGAACACCGGUGGCGAAGGCGGCGACCUGGGUCGAGACUGACGCUGAGGCGCGAAAGCGUGGGGAGCAAACAGG
RNAcentral lists this ribosomal RNA (253 nucleotides) under uncultured bacterium. Its description in RNAcentral is "partial 16S ribosomal RNA". It matches the Rfam family "Bacterial small subunit ribosomal RNA", at positions 524 to 776 of the family's 1533-position model. The record is from RNAcentral.